GCCGCGGUGGCGCAAUGGGUAGCGCGUCAGCCUUCUAUCUUUGUGAAGCUGAAAGUUGUGGGUUCGAUCCCCACCCGUGGUG
Atractiella rhizophila is the source of this 82-nucleotide non-coding RNA. NCBI's taxonomy places the organism in Eukaryota, Fungi, Basidiomycota, Atractiellomycetes, Atractiellales, Hoehnelomycetaceae. The record is from the annotation of a GenBank genome assembly.